Molecule: ribosomal RNA, 438 nt
Filed under: uncultured bacterium
Lineage: Bacteria
Description: bacterial SSU rRNA
Rfam family: Bacterial small subunit ribosomal RNA
Source: RNAcentral
GCAGAACGCGAAGAACCUUACCCACCUUUGACAUGGCAGGAACUUACCAGAGAUGGUUUGGUGCUCGAAAGAGAACCUGCACACAGGUGCUGCAUGGCUGUCGUCAGCUCGUGUCGUGAGAUGUUGGGUUAAGUCCCGCAACGAGCGCAACCCUUGCCAUUAGUUGCUACAUUCAGUUGAGCACUCUAAUGGGACUGCCGGUGACAAACCGGAGGAAGGUGGGGAUGACGUCAAGUCCUCAUGGCCCUUAUAGGUGGGGCUACACACGUCAUACAAUGGCUGGUACAAAGGGUUGCCAACCCGCGAGGGGGAGCUAAUCCCAUAAAGCCAGUCGUAGUCCGGAUCGCAGUCUGCAACUCGACUGCGUGAAGUCGGAAUCGCUAGUAAUCGUGGAUCAGAAUGUCACGGUGAAUACGUUCCCGGGUCUUGUACACACCG